RNAcentral lists this ribosomal RNA (407 nucleotides) under uncultured prokaryote. Its description in RNAcentral is "bacterial SSU rRNA". It matches the Rfam family "Bacterial small subunit ribosomal RNA", at positions 355 to 776 of the family's 1533-position model. The record is from RNAcentral. RNAcentral also lists the same sequence under 1 other name.
UGGGGAAUAUUGCGCAAUGGGGGAAACCCUGACGCAGCAACGCCGCGUGAAGGAAGAAGGCUUUCGGGUUGUAAACUUCUUUAGUCGGGGACGAAAAAAAUGACGGUACCCGAAGAAUAAGCCACGGCUAACUACGUGCCAGCAGCCGCGGUAAUACGUAGGUGGCGAGCGUUGUCCGGAAUUACUGGGUGUAAAGGGCGUGUAGGCGGGUUAUCAAGUCAGAUGUGAAAUUCCAGGGCUCAACCCUGGCGCUGCAUCUGAAACUGAUGAUCUUGAGUACUGGAGAGGGAAGCGGAAUUCCUAGUGUAGCGGUGAAAUGCGUAGAUAUUAGGAGGAACACCAGUGGCGAAGGCGGCUUUCUGGACAGUAACUGACGCUGAGGCGCGAAAGCGUGGGGAGCGAACAGG